UAAAGAACAUAAGUAAGAGUUUGUACGGUGUAUUACUUUUUUAAACCAGUGACCAAUCUAUUUUGUUUGUAUCCUGCACAGUGAGUUGAUGCUUACAUAUUUACUUUUGAUUAUAACAAAACAAAAUAAAAACAAACAGGAAGGGCAGAGACUGCAAAAAUAUUUGCUGCAAAUGUUUGGUCAGAAAGCUAAUUCCCAUAAAAUUCAGGGACCUAACAAAAGGCAGCAAAGAGUGCUCUCCAGCUCCGAGCUCUCAGAAACUUGAGAGAAGGAGACAGCAUUGGCUGUGGAGAGGCACACAGCACAAGGAAAACACACACAUCAGCUCCAUGGAGAAUGGAGCUGGCGCUGCAAACUGAAGACUCCAAAUUCUUUUCUCCCUCCUCUUCCCGCAUCUGUUUUGGCUGGCAUCCGGCACAAGAAAUCCAACUGAUGUCACCUGCCCAGGCGAGCACUGCUGUGAUUCACUGCUCAAGACAAAAACAAAUCUGAAAAGCAGGCAGACAGCUCAGCAAUCUGGGGACAGGAGAGGGAGAUCACGCUGAACUGCUGCCUGGAGCAGCGGCGCUUCGACUUGCCAGUUACUGCUUCCUCCACCCCAGAUUGCUGCCCUGUCACCUCCCAGAUUCCCAACUGGUUUUGAGCUUUUUUGUGAGCAGCAUCAGGGCAGAGCGACAGGUCACAGUACAAACACACGCUGACCAAAACAGAUGUAAAAAAUAAAGCAGCAAGCGUUUUAAGCUCCUUUGCAGAGAGCAGAGCACGCCAACUCCCAGCGACUGAGCACACUUUGUGAACCCGACGCAGCGCCUCGGGACCUCCUGCACCUCAGGAGCCGAGGUUCUCCCUCCCUCACACCUCUGGAAAUGGAGAACUGCCUGGCUGCAAACCCCAACAGUUAAACUGCCUCCCCUUUCCAUAGGCUACCAUGGGUACGAGAGACAAAGUGCUUAAGCAGCUAACAAUCUCCAUGUACAUAUUGGUACACAUUUGGUGUAGAACACCUGAAAACCAGCAGCUCCAAUGGCAAACUGAUUUUUACAAGUCAGGAGAUAUGCUCUGAGUGCACUGUAAAAAAAAAAAAUGCAUCUCAACAGUGGACAACUUUCCCUCAAAGACAUAGUUCAUAUUAAGGUCUGAAGGGGCUUGUUUAACAAAAUUUUGGAAGUAUCUGAAAACGGGACACUGGUUCUAACACCUGCAAAAACCUUAGACCCCUUUGUGGUAUUGUCUGCUGUAGAUGAACGCAGACGAACAAAAACCUGACAUAGUAAGGUAGAAAACAUGCAAUAAAUUGUCAAAGGAGAUCUGCCAGAAAUAAUCACUAAGUCCAACAUAACAGCGUAGAACUGUUGGCUGGCCACACGACGUUGUGACAAAACAAGGAGCCCUCAGAUCUGUCUGACCUCCUCUGCCUCCCACCCAUUUCGCUGGCAUUCUCUUCGUCCAUCAGUUCUGCAGCACUAGCGCUCUCAAGCUAGUUAAUUGAAUGUUCCUCAUCCAACACAAAAGGCCUAAAAUCACUGAACUGCAGGCAAACCUUUCUUCUAUCCAUAAAGAAAUGAUGAAUCCCAUUUUUGGGAUGUGGAUUCAAGCAGAUUUUGGCUUUUCAGAGGUGUUGAGAAGACUUGUGAAGCAAUGCAAGGCCCCUAACACUCCUCUGUGUUCCCCAACCUGCCCAAGUCACAAGUCAGGAAAUUUCAAGACAGAAAAUCCUCCUGCUUGCUUAAACCAGAGCUACUCUUGACAACAAUGACAGACUAACUUCAUAGGUUUGAUAAAAGCACAAAUCAUAUUGCAAAUCAUGCAGAUCACAUUCUAGCAAAUAGUUUAUAAAUCCCCAUUUUUCUAUGAUAGAAUAUAUAUGGAUAAAUCCAUUAGCCCCAUUCAUCAGACUUCAUUUUUGCAAAUUACACAGAUUGCUUACAUUUGGACAACAGACAGCUUCUGUAAGACAUGCUAAUGCAUUAGGCCAGAAAUUCACCACAUAACAGCAUAUUUACUGCUUAAGGGAGAAAUAUAUUCAAAAAAA
Anas platyrhynchos (mallard) is the source of this 2032-nucleotide non-coding RNA. Lineage: Eukaryota; Metazoa; Chordata; Aves; Anseriformes; Anatidae. The record is from RefSeq and is a predicted model, not a curated record.